Molecule: ribosomal RNA, 433 nt
Filed under: uncultured bacterium
Lineage: Bacteria
Description: partial 16S ribosomal RNA
Rfam family: Bacterial small subunit ribosomal RNA
Source: RNAcentral
AACGAACGCUGGCGGCAUGCCUAACACAUGCAGGUCGAACGAGACCUUCGGGUCUAGUGGCGCACGGGUGCGUAACGCGUGGGAACCUGCCCUUAGGUUCGGAAUAACUCCCCGAAAGGGGUGCUAAUACCGGAUAAUGUCUUCGGACCAAAGAUUUAUCGCCUUUGGAUGGGCCCGCGUUGGAUUAGCUAGUUGGUAGGGUAAAAGCCUACCAAGGCGACGAUCCAUAGCUGGUCUGAGAGGAUGAUCAGCCACACUGGGACUGAGACACGGCCCAGACUCCUACGGGAGGCAGCAGUGGGGAAUAUUGGACAAUGGGCGAAAGCCUGAUCCAGCAAUGCCGCGUGAGUGAUGAAGGCCUUAGGGUUGUAAAGCUCUUUUACCCGGGAUGAUAAUGACAGUACCGGGAGAAUAAGCUACGGCUAACUCCGUG